This 720-nucleotide ribosomal RNA is filed under the name uncultured bacterium. RNAcentral describes it as "bacterial SSU rRNA". It matches the Rfam family "Bacterial small subunit ribosomal RNA", at positions 153 to 859 of the family's 1533-position model. The record is from RNAcentral.
GAAACAGGUGCUAAUACCGCAUAACAUUGAAAAGCGCAUGCUUUUCAAUUAAAAGGCGCUUUUGGUGUCACUGAUAGAUGGACCCGCGGCGUAUUAGCUAGUUGGUGGGGUAACGGCCUACCAAGGCAAUGAUACGUAGCCGAGUUGAGAGACUAAUCGGCCACAAUGGGACUGAGACACGGCCCAUACUCCUACGGGAGGCAGCAGUAGGGAAUCUUCCACAAUGGGCGCAAGCCUGAUGGAGCAACGCCGCGUGCGUGAAGAAGGUCUUCGGAUCGUAAAGCGCUGUUGUUAGAGAAGAACACGGAUAAGAGUAACUGUUUAUGCGUUGACGGUAUCUAACUAGAAAGUCACGGCUAACUACGUGCCAGCAGCCGCGGUAAUACGUAGGUGGCAAGCGUUGUCCGGAUUUAUUGGGCGUAAAGCGAGCGCAGGCGGUCUUUUAAGUCUGAUGUGAAAGCCCCCGGCUUAACCGGGGAGGGUCAUUGGAAACUGGGAGACUUGAGUGCAGAAGAGGAAAGCGGAAUUCCAUGUGUAGCGGUGAAAUGCGUAGAUAUAUGGAGGAACACCAGUGGCGAAGGCGGCUUUCUGGUCUGUAACUGACGCUGAGGCUCGAAAGCGUGGGGAGCAAACAGGAUUAGAUACCCUGGUAGUCCACGCCGUAAACGAUGAGUGCUAAGUGUUGGAGGGUUUCCGCCCUUCAGUGCUGCAGCAAACGCA